UAACGCGUGGGUAACCUGCCUUAUACAGGGGGAUAACAGUCAGAAAUGGCUGCUAAUACCGCAUAAGCGCACAGAGCUGCAUGGCUCAGUGUGAAAAACUCCAGUGGUAUAAGAUGGACCCGCGUUGGAUUAGCUUGUUGGUGGGGUAACGGCCCACCAAGGCGACGAUCCAUAGCCGGCCUGAGAGGGUGAACGGCCACAUUGGGACUGAGACACGGCCCAG
This 223-nucleotide ribosomal RNA is filed under the name uncultured bacterium. RNAcentral describes it as "partial 16S ribosomal RNA". It matches the Rfam family "Bacterial small subunit ribosomal RNA", at positions 111 to 334 of the family's 1533-position model. The record is from RNAcentral.